GAUGAAGAACGCAGCGAAAUGCGAUAAGUAAUGUGAAUUGGAGAAUUCAGUGAAUCAUCGAGUCUUUGAACGCACAUUGCGCCCCCUGGUAUUCCGGGGGGCAUGCCUGUCCGAGCGUCAUUGCCGCCCUCAAGCACGGCUUGUGUGUUGGGCCCCCGCCCCCCGGCUUCGGGGGGCGGGCCCGAAAGGCAGCGGCGGCACCGCGUCCGGUCCUCGAGCGUAUGGGGCUUCGUCACCCGCUCUGUAGGCCCGGCCGGCGCCCGCCGGCGACCCCAAUCAAUCUUUCCAGGUUGACCUCGGAUCAGGUAGGGAUACCCGCUGAACUUAAGCAUAUCAAUAAGCGGAGGA
This 348-nucleotide unclassified non-coding RNA is filed under the name soil metagenome. Its description in RNAcentral is "partial contains 5.8S ribosomal RNA, internal transcribed spacer 2, and large subunit ribosomal RNA". The stretch from base 1 to 120 matches the Rfam family "5.8S ribosomal RNA", at positions 35 to 154 of the family's 154-position model. The record is from RNAcentral.